GUGCAGGCUGGCAUUGAAAUCGCAAAACUCUUUCUGAAUGAAGGAGACACGGUGAUUUACACUGUUGGAAGGGAUCCACAGAAUACAAGGAAUAUUGUUGCAGAAGCUCCACCUCUUAUUACAGCUCCAGUAAUUGUUUUGGUUAACAAAAGUACUGCAAGUGCUAGUGAAAUUGUUGCAACAGCACUUCACGACAAUUGCAGAGCUGUUCUUGUGGGAGACAAGACAUAUGGCAAGGGGCUGAUUCAGUCUGUAU
This 256-nucleotide unclassified non-coding RNA is filed under the name Hevea brasiliensis (rubber tree). Lineage: Eukaryota; Viridiplantae; Streptophyta; Magnoliopsida; Malpighiales; Euphorbiaceae. The record is from RNAcentral.